This 64-nucleotide ribosomal RNA is filed under the name Deltaproteobacteria bacterium. RNAcentral describes it as "partial 16S ribosomal RNA". The stretch from base 1 to 54 matches the Rfam family "Bacterial small subunit ribosomal RNA", at positions 1480 to 1533 of the family's 1533-position model. Lineage: Bacteria; Pseudomonadati; Myxococcota; Myxococcia. The record is from RNAcentral.
ACGAAGUCGUAACAAGGUAGCUGUAGCGGAAGCUGCGGCUGGAUCACCUCCUUUCUAGGGAGUA